ACUCUUAACAACAGUUACCUUAGCUUUCACAUUGAUGAAGAAUGUAGCAAAAUGUGAUACUUGGUGUGAAUUGCAAAAUCCUAUGAACUAUCGAGUCUUUGAAUGCAAGUUGCGCCCCAAGCCAUUAGUCCAAAGGCAAGCCUACUUGGGUGUCAUGCAUCAUAACUCUUUCCAAACCUCCACCCAUUGAGCUCUAGAUUGAGGGAGGCCUAUAGCAAUUUUGACAUGCAAAUCAUUCAUCUAACUUAGGUACAAGGGUGAAAGACUAAUCCAACUGUCUAGUAGCUAGUUCCUUUCGAAGUUUUCCUCAUGAUAGUUGGAGCCCUUACCGAGUUCAAUGAGUGAAGCUAACAAUUAGAGGUAUCGGGAUGCAACGCCUGACCUAUUCUCAAACUUUAAAUAGGUAAGAUGGCAUGACUACUUCGUUAAGCCAUGCCAUGGAAUCGAGAGCUCCAAGUGGGCCAUUUUUGGUAAGCAAAACUAGCGAUGUAGGAGGAACCAGAAACUAGGUUGCAGUGCCCAACUUUGUAGUAACCUAGAACCCAUAAUGGGUGUUGGUUGAUUAAGACAACAUGAUGGUGGUUAUGGAAGUUGAAAUCCACUAAGAAGUGUGUAACAACUCACUUACUAAAUCAACUAGCCUAAAAAAUGGAUGGUGCUUAAGAACGUAGCAUAUUCCUAGCAUCAUGGUAAGGGACAGGCCUCGAUAAGUAGAAAGGUGCAUCAUUGCCAUAAAACCUGAGGCAUAAGCACAAGCAGAGUGAUCAUCGAUGUAGAUCUUGGUGGUAGUAGCAAAUAUUCAAAUAAGAACUUUAAAGGUUAAAGAAGGGAAGAGUUCCAUGUGAAUGGCAUUUGCACAUAGGUUAGUCGAUCUUAAGAGACAAGGGAAGCUCAUUCAAUAGUGCAUCCAAUGUGAGCUUCAAAAGAGAACCAAGUUAAAACUUUUAAACCAUGAUGCGGUGACUAAGAGAAAAGUUAGGGAGUUUAAAGAUGUUGACAGGGGCCUCAGGAAGAGUUAUCUUUUCAAUUUAAUGGCUUGCUCACCUUAGAAAUGGUUUAGCUAAAGGUAGGGUCUAGUAGCCAAAAUAGCACUACAAGUUAUAUGGUGUCUGGUUGCCCUAGUGAUCUUUGAAAAUUAGAAAGACUGAGUGCUAUUCAUGCUUGAUCAUACUCAUAAACACAUCGGGUCUUCAAGAUGAACAGCCUCUUAUUGAUGGAACAAUGUAGGUAAGGGAAGUCGACAAAAUAAAUCCAUAACCUUAGGAAAAAGAUUAACUCUAAUGGCUAGGGAUGGGGUCCCAAUCUUAAACCUAUCAACUGUUGGUACACUACUUGAGCUACUUCUGCAGUGAAAGUAGGUCACCAUGUGUCGAUUAAGGGAUGGACUGGGAACGAAUCCCUUGAGGACCUUUCUUGGGUGAUAAAUAGUUGGUAUGAAAUUGGUAUGGACAAGGAGAAUCUGACUAUUUAAUUAAAACAAAGCAUUGCGAUGGUCCCUGCAAAUGCUCACGUAAUGUGAUUUCUACUUAGUACUCUGAAUGUCAAAGUGAAGAAAUUUAACCAAGUAUAGGUAAAUGGCAAGAGUAACUAUGGCUCUCUUAAGGUAGCCAAAUGCCUUGCUAUCUAAUUAGUGAUGUGUAUGAAUCGAUUAAUAAGAUUCUCGCUAUCCUUGUCUACUAUCCAAUGAAAUCACAACUAAGGGAAUGGGCUUGGAGAAGCAAUAAGGAAAUAAAACCUUGUUAAGCUUGACUCUAGUUUGACUUUGUGAAAUAGCUUGAGAGGUGUAGGAUAAGUGGGAUCCCUUAGGCGAAAUUAAAAUACCAUUACUUUUAACAUUAUUUUAUUUAUUCCAUAAAUUGGAGGUGGGGUACGAUCCCUUGUUUUGGACCAAGGUUGACCUCAGUUGUCGAUCUAGGUGGAAGACAUUAUCAAGUAGGGAGUUUGGCUAAGGCAACACAUUUGUUAAAAGAUAAUGCAGGUCUUCUAAGAUGAGGUCAACGAGAAUAGAAAUCUCAUGU
RNAcentral lists this ribosomal RNA (2018 nucleotides) under Durio zibethinus. RNAcentral describes it as "eukaryotic LSU rRNA". It matches the Rfam family "Eukaryotic large subunit ribosomal RNA", at positions 712 to 2697 of the family's 3401-position model. The record is from RNAcentral. Lineage: Eukaryota; Viridiplantae; Streptophyta; Magnoliopsida; Malvales; Malvaceae.